Passer domesticus (house sparrow) is the source of this 2170-nucleotide long non-coding RNA. RefSeq lists it as uncharacterized. The record is from RefSeq and is a predicted model, not a curated record. Lineage: Eukaryota; Metazoa; Chordata; Aves; Passeriformes; Passeridae. The transcript has 2 exons.
CCAACUCCUCUUGUCUUAGGUAGUUGCCAACUCAAAUGGCUGUGUGUGUUUCCUGUUACUGGUUUCAUUUGGCUCUGGGAUUCCUCACCAUCUCUCCCUGAGUUAAUCUGUGGCAGUAAUAUAUGUAGAACAUCUAGCCUUCUACUUGCAGGAGGCUGCAUUUCAGCUGUGAUCCGGCUGCUCAGCUUUACCAGCAGUAAAAGCACUUUACCGGCUGUAAAAGCAGAGAGAUUCCUUGCUGGGCUAAAGCGUGAUGGGUUAACUCUGUCAGUUUGUCUACAUAAUAUCGGCUGGAAUACCAGUUCAAGUUCUCCUGAGUGAUUCGUGGAGGUGAGUGCUGAGGGCUGGUUUCUCAGGGAAUGCGCCGGGAAGGAGCGUGCCGCACAGUGCGCGUCUGCAGCCCGACAACUCUCGCGUCUGCCGCCUUUAAUCAUGGCAAAUGAAAGUUUCUAAACAGCGGAGGAUGCCAGGCUUUGUGUUCUGCCACCGGAGCUGCCUCUGCGCCGCCGUCAGUGCCGGUAAUUGCAGACAGAAGCUGCUUUGUGUUAAAGUGGCAUCGGUAAUUGAAACGGAAUUCAGAAUCAGGACCCUGCAGGCACCGCUCGGUGAAAGAAGAAAUAAAGAUCGUUUGGGUCACAUCUUUUGUAAUUUGCGUUUAAUAAUCGUACCAGGAGGUACAUACAAAGGGAGAGGAGAGAUAAGACACAGCCCACUCCCCCUCCUCGCUCUGCCUUGCAGCCUUCCCACGGAACGGAGGAGCCUGGUGGGAAGCCCGCUCUCCCCCCGCCUGGGCUGGGUGCUGGGAGCGCUGCCGGCUCGCUCCCACCGCGGCUCGGGCCGCUUGCUGAGGCCAAGCCAGAAGGAGAGAGAGAACGACUCCUUGGGUUCGUGUUAAACUGGAUGCUCAAGUUCUGGUCUUAUGGUUAGGCUGAGGAUUUACAGGCCCACGUGCUGGCUCUUGCCCAGUAAGUCUGGUUCAGCUCUGAGCAUCAGAGGGCACUCCACUGGUUUGCAGUUUGUGAGUUUCCCAUUGCAAUGGGAUCCUUUUGGUAUCCUUCAAUGGGCUUCUGCCUAUACAAGAAAAUGCAAGCUGUAGGAUGUGGCUUAUGAUGAAAUGUCCCAAAUUUCUCCCACCUCAGCACAAUAAGGCCUUCUCUGUUCUGCUUCUGGGAAAUGGAAAUUGCCUGUGCUCCCCACAAAUUUCAGCCAGGCUGUGCCUGAGAAGGCACAAGCUUGUGGGCACCAGCACUGUGCCAGGAGCCUGCCCAUGCUGAAAAAGCCCCAGCAGCAGAGCCCAUGCCCUUGUAAAUUCACUUGUGUGGAUGCAGCCUUGUGGUUUCCUUCUUGACCUGUUUGGUGAGUGACUUUUGAUCUCAGGAUAUUGGAGUUACCAGGGAAAGCCACAUAGUAAUAAAAAUAUUGCAGAAAAGCUCAGGAAAGGACUGUGGUACAAGAAACCAAGAUCCUGCCAAAGACUGUGAGAAAAAUGUAGGUGCAUGCUGAGUGCAGGUAACUUCUGUUCUUUUUGGCUUCAUGCAGUGCUUAGCUGAUGCUUGUUUGGCCCUAGAAGAAGACAGAUGCAGUCUCUCUUUCCUUCAUAUUAAAGUGCACAACACUGCUUCUGCUGCGGCCAGUGCUGUUCCCUGUCUGCCUUUUAGGGCAGGAUAGUGGGUGGGAUGGCCCUUCAGACUAAGCUGGUACAGCCUAUUUCUCUCAUGCUCCUGGCAGCUUAUCAUGGUGUGCUUCUGCUGGGCUUACCAUGGAGGUUGGGCUGAAGGUCCCAAAGAAGACACAGCAGGGUGGUGAUACAAACCUUCUCUUUCAGCCUCAUACUGGUCAGGGACAUUCAGCCGUUCUUACAGUGUACAAGUAUGCACUAAUAAGUUUCUGCUCUGAAGAAGCAUCUUCAUCAUCCAAUACAGGGUUCCCCUUAACCUAAGGCCCUGUUCCUGGAGGAGCUAAACCUGUCAGAUACCUCCACCAUAACCUCUGGGGUGGUUGAGACCUAUGAUGUCAUCUAAAAUAUGAGAACCAAGAUGAUCUGGUUCUAUGAUCAUAUAGUCCACUGAUCUGCCCUGUGAUUUCCCUUAGCUUUGGCUCUGUUGAGCCUUACUGUAGUGCAAAUAUAACCCAAAUUUCUUCUUCAGUAAAAAAAACCCCAGCAACACUU